UUUAAUCCAUUUUAAAUUCAGGCUGUAACACAACAAAAUGUGGAAAAAGUCAAUGAAUGUGAAUACUUUUUGAAGGCUCUGUAGAUUAGGCUGCUUUUUGCUUCAUUACAAUCAUUUCGUGUCAUUUACAGUUAAUUAUAUAUUUUUCACCUCAAGGCCCUUUCUAAAAAUUCUGAAUUAUGAAGCCUUUAUUUUAAAUGUCACAUUUUGAGAAAGAUACCAUCAGAUCUGUUUGACAACGUUGGUAUGGUGAGGAUAUAAAUCAUAUUUCAAUUUCUCACAAAAAAGUAUUGGGGACAAUUAUGUUGGGAUAUGUCAUUACUUGACAAAAUUGACUUCCUGUCUUUCUGUAAUACAUGGAAAUGGUUCAAACCUAGGAAUCGAAUGUCCCUAUGCACAGUAGGCUAUCUGUGGUUAGGUUACACCUGGUGUUUUACCCUGUACAACUGGUUAGGUUACACCUGGUGUUUCAGCCUGUAUAACUGGUUAGCUUACACCUGGUGUUUCAGCCUGUACAACUGUGGUUAGGUUACACCUGGUGUUUCAGCCUGUACAACUGUGGUUAGGUUACACCUGGUGUUUCAGCCUGUAUAACUGGUUAGGUUACACCUGGUGUUUCAGCCUGUAUAACUGUGGUUAGGUUACACCUGGUGUUUCAGCCUGUAUAACUGUGGUUAGGUUACACCUGGUGUUUCAGCCUGUACAACUGUGGUUAGGUUACACCUGGUGUUUCAGCCUGUAUAACUGUGGUUAGGUUAGCCCACACCUCUAUGGUUAAGGAAUGGUUAAUGACACUACAAAAUGGGUAGAGACAAUGGGGUUUAGUUGCUGAGUGUAAACUCAACCUAACGUGUCUGUGGUGUGAAUAUAGUGUAUUCAAUUGGUUUCCAAAUGUGUUUUAAUGUUACAGCUACUCACCAGUAAUACUUGGGCGUAUUGAGAGGCUGAAUGAGAAAUAUAGAGGUGAUUUUUGCCCAGCUAAUAUACUGUAGGAUGGGCCCAUCAAUGCAAUGAUGCAGCAAACACAUAGCCCACUAAGAGAGAUGCUAAGGGUAGAUUUUAAUGUGUAUAUUUUCUUUAGCACCACCUGACCCUUGGUAGUAACUUGUGACCUAUAACCUUUGACCUAUAAUGUGUGGUAAAAUUACACUAGAGAUAAAAACAAACGUACGUUUUUGUUGUUGUUGACAUUUUUUGGUCCGGUUUCAUUCAAUUAAUAUACCAAUGUUUGUUGCCAAGUUUGUCUGAAUAUGACAGUAUUUUAUUGGUAAUCAUUGCUAACAAAUGAUUUACGGUAAUCCUAAUAAUCAAUAAGUUAAAAGGCUAUUCAACAUUUGGAGAAACUGAUCAUUUUAGUAUUUUUUUUUGAGGAAAACUUAAAUUGUAUGUUUGCUAAGUUCUACUGCUAUUAUUUUGCAGUGUUUUUAAACCACAAUGUUUUCCCCGUUUGCGACCAGCAGAAAACAGCUAUAUUUGUCAGACUUAAUAGCCUACUGUUGGUAACAUUUUAUGGCUGUUUUUUAAUAUUUUUUUUAAAAACUAAACUGAGUUGUAGUUUUAAGAUGUUUUGAGAUGAGGUUGGUCUGGUUUAUCUGUUUGAAAAACUGUAUGAGAAAAAAAAUCUGUAUUUGUCUCAAAGUUUUGCCUCAACUGUGGACUUCCUAUGGCUCAAACCUCACAGGAACCUCUGAAGAGAAGGAAACUACUUAGUAUUUGUGUGUUUUCACUGAGAAAGCAGCUUUUAAGUUGUCUUCUUUUGUGUUCUGUUUUAAGUGGAGUAAUAUGACCCUCUUGCUUUGUGCUGUGUACCUGGUUUCAUUGGGAAGACAAGAAAAGGGAAAAUCCUCUUCCCACACUGCGCUUACUGCCACGCUGUUUAACACACACAGAGACAAAGUGCAUUUAUGCACUUAUUUGUCCUCCGAAUAUCAAUAAAUGUUCAUUUGUUGGAAACCUG
This is a non-coding RNA of Salvelinus sp. IW2-2015, 1957 nucleotides long. NCBI's taxonomy places the organism in Eukaryota, Metazoa, Chordata, Actinopteri, Salmoniformes, Salmonidae. The record is from RefSeq and is a predicted model, not a curated record.